RNAcentral lists this non-coding RNA (180 nucleotides) under Metabacillus litoralis. RNAcentral describes it as "Bacillus litoralis Lysine sequence". It matches the Rfam family "Lysine riboswitch aptamer". Rfam says of the family: Riboswitches are metabolite binding domains within certain messenger RNAs that serve as precision sensors for their corresponding targets. Allosteric rearrangement of mRNA structure is mediated by ligand binding, and this results in modulation of gene expression. Lineage: Bacteria; Bacillati; Bacillota; Bacilli; Caryophanales; Bacillaceae. The record is from Rfam by way of RNAcentral.
AAUGAUGGUAGAGGUGCGAAUUUUAAGAGUAGCCUGUUUGAGGAGUAUGGUCUCCAAUGAUAACUGGUGAAAGGAAUGUUCGCCGAAGUGAGUAAAGCACCAUUUGCUUUAGUUGCUGGUUUUACAUUUAAGAGAUGUAAAAUUGUCAAGAAAUCUAUUUCUUGGAGAGCUAUCUCAUUG